Molecule: long non-coding RNA, 2436 nt
Organism: Naja naja (Indian cobra)
Lineage: Eukaryota; Metazoa; Chordata; Lepidosauria; Squamata; Elapidae
Source: Ensembl
GGCAGCUGGUGCCUCUGUGGAGCCAUUUCACAGCCAGACUGGCGCGUAUCCAAAAGUGGAUGUCGAACAGACGAAAUUGGGAAAGAAGGUUGCAUGAUGACAAGUCUGUGGAUUUCUUCCUCCUCCAGGAAGAACUUCCAUUCCCUCUGUGAAAUAAACGAAAAAAAUGUUUUUCCUGGAGUCAACGUGAUGCCCAAACAGGACACGCACAUGCAUGGACCCACCCUUGAAUUGAACAGAACUUGUGCAUCAUGCAGACAAUCUAGUGAGGACAGUGCUGAAUUACAGCAAGACGGCUGUGACACACAGUACUAGGGAAUAUAAUUCACGGAGCUCAGUCUGACCUGCAGGUCAGUUGACAGGUUCAGAAGUACAAGUAACAGCUUUAUGAUUUCCAUAGAUGUAAUGAACAACAGAAAAAUGAAGAGGUCCCUAAGAGAAGGAUGACUCGUCUCAAAAGUUAAACAGCACAAUUGCAUUAAAAUCUGUGGUUGCAAUCCAGGCAGGGCUGCAGUCCUGGGAAGGAGCAGAAUCCAUUAGUGACUUCUCUGCGGGGCAGCAGGACAGAGGCUAAUGAUUUCCUCUCUUAAGCUGUCUUUAAUUCAAUAAUCAAUGUUAUUCUUUAUAAAAUGUCUUUAAUAACAAUACUUCAAUAACAUAGCAAUACUUAAGUAUUAUUGUAGGCACAUUGCGUUACAAUACAAAGAUAGAAGUGCAAACUCAGAUCUUACAAGUACCUAUAAGGAUGAAUGCAGUAAAUUGCUCUUUUUCUGUGUCUUGAGUAAUAUUGGAUAUGCUGGCUAGAGUCGUUUGAUAGUGAAAUGGGCAACAUGUAAAUGUAAGAAAUAAUAAAUAAUAGGGGCAGCCUAGAGGUGAAGCCGCUCGCCUCCCACUCUGAAGGUUGAGAGUUCAAUCCUAGAUGAGGACAGAUGUUUAUCAAGGCACAAAGAGAAAAUGUCUGCUGCAAACUCCACCUCGGUGUCAGGAAGGGCAUUCGGCCAGUAAACGCUCAGCUCCAUUCAGAGCCCUGACCACAGCAAGGGAUUACAGGGUUGAAAACAUAAAAAAUAAGUAGCUGGUUGAUGGCUAAGAAUUAUCUGAGUCCUCUAUUCCUGUGGAUGGGGAAGGAAGUAGAGUUAAGGAAAGAGUAACUUUUCUAAACAACUCAGUAAGUGUGGCUUGCAUGGUUUUUCUUCAUAUAUUUCAAAACAUUUUAAGAUGUCAUCUAUAUUUCAACUUACUUUUCCAAAUACUGCAUAUGUGGAUCCAUGCUUUCUAACCGUUACGAUGAUGUCAAUAGCAAUAGCAAUUAGACUUACAUAUCGCUUCACAGUGCUUUACAGCCCUCUCUAAUGCUAUCCAUUCAGUCAUGCCCAGUUCUAUGAGUCCGCUCUCUCCACAUUUCCUGGUCUUGCGUGGCUUCAGGUGUUUUAUGCUCUCACGGGUUGGUUUUUUUGGUGUCUACCCACCAUGGCUUCAGCAUUGCCCUCUAAAUCAAAUGAUUCCAUAAAUGUCAAAAUAUCCUGAUUUAUUUCACGCAAAUCUUUGUCAUGGUCAAAUCCUUCAAAAUUAUUUACAAGAGCAGCACAUUUUUAAAACAGUUUUUCAGAAUUCCUUGCCUGAAUUUUGCAGCAACAUUAUUGAUAAAAUGAGGCUCUUGUAGCCUUUCCAAAAGCCACACGUUAGUGCUUCAUUCUCCACUACAUUUGCAGCUUCAGCAAAUGUUUCAAUAGCUUCCAGAUCAUAAGCUGAAAAAGAGGGGCAAAGUUGAAAAUCAGGAGUUUACAGGAUAGAGAACAGAUACUGCUUCACCAGCAUUUUAUCCUCAGGUUGGCUCUCUGCCUUACGCAUGAUCCAGACUUUCUCUUAUACAGAGAAAAGGGAAGGAAGGAAGGAAUCCUUAUUCAAGCAUUAGGAACCUGAUUAAUUUUUUCUGGAUUCAGCUAUUUGAAAAAAGUUAAAAUGCAAUAAAAAAUAAAUUCCUAGAUUGACAACAGCCACUAAGACUAUAUAGUAAGCUAAAAUUACUAUCCUGUCUAAAUAUAUCAACCAGUCCAGGAUUUAGUAAGGUAUGUCUACAUAAUACGACUGUAUGCAUUGUAAUUUCCUGUAUUUGGUUACCUUGUUCAUAAUGGAAAACACACAAAAACCAGGUAAGAAUGCCCUGAAGGCUCCUAACAUUAUUUUGCACAUCACUUUUCAUCUUUUAAAGAGAAGUCAAACUUCUUCUCUAUUGGAAAAGAAAUAAAAAGGCUUCCCUUACAGCAACAUGCAUAUGCAGGCACCCCAUUCAUUCUGCCGAUUCCAGCACACAAGUGAAAACAUACCUGGGGAACCCAAAAGUGCUUUUUUUCAAGAGGCAACUGGACUUUCUGGCUUUUUUUCUUUUGAAGACGUUUCGCUUUCACUUCUCCUCCAAGAAGCUUCUUCAGCUCU